CUUUGUGGGCGGCGCCUCGGUCUUGGCCUCGCGCAGCCUCUUCAGCUCCCAAUGCACUUCCGCCGGGGGUUGGUUCCUCUGCCUGUGCUGCCUCAGCCGCUGGUAGGACGCAUCCAGCAUGUGAGGUACACACUGAGUGAAGUGGAAGCAAAGUCAUCUGAGAGUGAAGUGCUGACAUCUCUUUGGAAUCUUAGAAGUGCCCAGAAUUGAACUGUGUCAUGUAUUAGAGCCUGCAACUGGAAUAAUGUGGAAGCUGUAACUGCAGUGUUUGAGUGGCUACCCAUGGAUAUAUCUGAAAUACUGGAAUGACCAGAAGUAAAUUGGUAAGACAUCAUGGACCAAAAUUUGGAAAGGUUUCUGUGCUUUCCUGAGUAUAGUCAAGUGUUAAAACUUAAAAUAUAGAGGUUAUUUCUGCAUCUCCCAUGCAUGUCCUCAAGUAUCUAAGAACUACUAUAUUACUAAUUCUCAAAGCAGCUCACUAAUUAUCUUCAGAAAGGAAACUGCCACUAAUUUCUGUCAACUAAGGUUUGAACUUAACCUAAGCUAGUGAUUCCAACAAUAAUUUAAAAGGAUCGUAUACUAUGAUCAAGUGGGAUUUAUCCCAAGGAUGCAAAGAUUUUUCAGUAUCCACAAAUAAUAAAUGUGACAUACCUACCACAUUAACAAAUUGAAAAAUAAAAGCCAUUUGAUGACUUUAAUAGAUGCAGAAAAAGGUUCUGAUAAAUUUUAACAUCAAUAUUUAACAUCAAUUUAUGUUAAAAACUCUCUAGAAAGUGGGCACAGAGGGAACAUACUUCAACAUAAUAAAGGCCAUAUAUGGCAAACACACAACUAAUAUCAUACUCCACAAUGGAAAGCUAAAAGCAUUCUAAGAUCAGGAACAAGACAAGGAUACCACUCUCACCACAGCAAUCAGAGAAGAAAAAAAUAAAGAAAAGUAAAUUCAAAAUGAAUUAAAGACCUAAAUCUAAGCCAGAUACUA
This is a non-coding RNA of Sus scrofa (pig), 982 nucleotides long. The record is from RefSeq and is a predicted model, not a curated record. Lineage: Eukaryota; Metazoa; Chordata; Mammalia; Artiodactyla; Suidae.